CCAGGAAGAUUAGAACCAUGCAACUUGUAGUAGAAGUGCUAUCCAAAUCCAAGAAACCCUCCCCCAGAUUCUGGAUCCAUUACUACAAGGUGCCAUUGCUUCUCUCAGGAAGGAUAGAAUAAUAAAUACUUGUGCUCUCAACAGAAAGAAAAUACUAGAAAUGCAGUUGAAAUCUCUUGGGUCAAACUCACCAAUGGGCUGAUUUUUAAAUUGAGUCAUUCGCUAUCUUCAACAACCGGUUCGCCACGCUGAUCCUCAGAUUUAUUCUCCCAUCUGCUAUUUGUUAGGCAGGGUAGGGACCGGAAGUGUGUAGUGAGCUAUUAAGAUGUGCCCAAAUGAUGUGAAUGUGCUUUCCAUUCACUAUUUUAUUUAAUGCAAACAGCAUCCCUACAGGGUAGGUAUUAGCAUCACAAUUUUACAGAUGAGGAACUUGAGUCUUGGAGAAGUUAAAUAACUGGUCAAGGUUGCCCAAGUGAUAAAUAGCACAGCAGGUGCCUCACCUCAGUGGUCAUGCCUCCAAAGUGCAUGGCAAUUCAACCCCCAAAUGUAUAUGUAAAUCACUAAGCAAUAAAUAUUUAGUAGGCACCUGUUAUAUGAUAGCACUAUGCCAGGACCUGGCCGCCAAUCCUUGCCUUCAAGGACAACGAGCAACAGCGAGAGAAAUGGGUUUUAUGUAAGAUGGGGGUGGGGUGUGCCUGGCAACAUCACCACUACAACAGGCCACUUGGAUUCAGAGGAUGCAGAGGAGAAGGGAAAGUUUGCAGAGAACCGGAUGGCUGCAGGGGUGUUGUGAGACUGACAGGGAAAGUGGAAGAGGCCGUGCAGUUUCACUCAGAGAAGCCCACAUUUGCUUCUCUGUGCCAUCUUUGAGGCCCUGGUUUAAUUCUCACUAUUAUCAGUGAAGCAUUCUCUUUAUGAACAGUGGACUGUUUUGAGGCUGGGGAAGAGCAUGGUACCAAAGAAGACUGAACUCCCCUCGAGGAACUGAGCAGGAGAGGUACACGAAGCUAGGUGUCCCCUUUGUCCCCAGGGAAACACGUGUCCUCAUGGAAUGUUUUGUGUCUCCACAUCCUGUCUUCCCACAGCAUCCUCUGCAUGGCCUAUCUUAACACUUCAUUACCUGCAUGUCCUUUCUAGGUCUGACUCCUUGCUCCUGUGAGUGUGCGCGUAUACUGCUGGGAGCCAUUAGCCAAGUAGGUAUGACAAUUUCCUUGCCAGCGUACCCCAUGUUGCUGACAUUUGCAGUGACAUUGAAUGUAGGUGACCUUGCUCAAGGACCAAGGCGGAUUAGGGUGUUCCCGGUUUAAGAUAAUUGGGUUUAGGGCGUUCCAGGUUUAAGAUUAUUCCUCCUGGGAAUAGGGCGUAUCCUGCUGCCUGAGUUCCCCUUGAGUUCUCACGGGAUUUAGACAGUAUUUUUGGGGAGACAGAUGCCCAGUGGAGGUGAUUUUGGGCAGAGAAAGUGGAUUUGGGCAGAGAACUUGGAUUUCCCCAGAACGUGAUUGUAGACGGCUGGUGUGAGUUCGGGAAUAAAGAGUUGCU
RNAcentral lists this long non-coding RNA (1539 nucleotides) under Marmota monax (woodchuck). Lineage: Eukaryota; Metazoa; Chordata; Mammalia; Rodentia; Sciuridae. The record is from RNAcentral.